ACUCGGCUUCCCUCUGCGGCCUCAUUGAGCGUCUCUAACCGUACUCGCUUCGUGAUCGUCCCUGGAUUGCGGACCCUCUGACACCCGAGGCCUCCGGGAUCCCGCGGCUCUGCCCUCGCCCGCAGACUUAGCCCCGGUGUCCACCGUGUAAUUCUGAAUGGAGUUGCCCUGUCCAAAUCCAGUGGCCCCUUGCCACGUGGAACACUUGCAAUGGAGCUAUCGAGCACUUGAAAUGCAGCUAAUCCAAGAUGAAAUGUGCUCUCGGUGUCAAAUCUGCACUGGAUAUUGAAGACUAAAUCCAGAGGAUGUAAAACGUCUCAAAUUUUAUAUUGAUGACAUAUUGAAAUGAUAAUACUUUGAAUAAGUAAGUGUGUUAGUCGCUCAGUCGUGCCCGACUUUUUGCAAACCCAUGGACUGCAGCCCACCAGGCUCCUCUGUCCAUGAGAUUUUCCAGGCAAGGAUACUGGAGUGGGUCACCAUUUCCUUCUCCAGGGGAUCUUCCCAACCCAAGGAUUGAAUCCAGGUCUCCUGCACUGCAGGCAGAUUCUUUACCAACUGAGCUUCAAGGGAAGCCAAUACUUUGAACAUAUUGGAUUAAAUACAAUAUAUUCUUAAAACUUAA
Molecule: long non-coding RNA, 622 nt
Organism: Bubalus bubalis (water buffalo)
Lineage: Eukaryota; Metazoa; Chordata; Mammalia; Artiodactyla; Bovidae
Exons: 2
Source: RefSeq, a predicted model, not a curated record